RNAcentral lists this transfer RNA (73 nucleotides) under Stegodyphus mimosarum. It matches the Rfam family "tRNA". From Rfam's summary of the family: Transfer RNA (tRNA) molecules are approximately 80 nucleotides in length. Their secondary structure includes four short double-helical elements and three loops (D, anti-codon, and T loops). Lineage: Eukaryota; Metazoa; Arthropoda; Arachnida; Araneae; Eresidae. The record is from Rfam by way of RNAcentral.
GCCUUCGUGGUGUAGUGGUCAGCACUUUUGACGCGUAACCGAGAGGUCCGUGGUUCGAUUCCCGGCGAAGGGG